UAAUACCGAAGCCCCAAGUGGUCGUCGUUAUUAUUGGGCCUAAAACGUCCGUAGCCGGUUUGGUACAUUCGUGGGUAAAUCAGACAGCUUAACUGUCUGAAUUCUGCGAGGACGGCCAAACUUGAGACCAGGGGAGGUGUGGGGUACCUGCGGGGUAGGGGUAAAAUCCCGUCAUCCCGUAGGGACCACCUGUUGCGAAGGCGCCACACUAGAACGGAUCUGACGGUCAGGGACGAAGCCUAGGGGCACGAACCGGAUUAGAUACCCGGGUAGUCCUAGGUGUAAACGCUGUGGACUUGGUGUCGGGGAUCUCUAGAGGAUUCUCGGUGCCGUAGUGAAGAUGUUUAGUCCACUGCCUGGGGAGUACGGUCGCAAGGCUG
This 380-nucleotide ribosomal RNA is filed under the name uncultured euryarchaeote. RNAcentral describes it as "bacterial SSU rRNA". It matches the Rfam family "Archaeal small subunit ribosomal RNA", at positions 471 to 851 of the family's 1478-position model. The record is from RNAcentral. Lineage: Archaea; Methanobacteriati; Methanobacteriota.